Molecule: microRNA precursor, 74 nt
Organism: Cercocebus atys (sooty mangabey)
Lineage: Eukaryota; Metazoa; Chordata; Mammalia; Primates; Cercopithecidae
Source: Ensembl
AGUUUUUGGAAGAGAUAUUGCCACCCUUUCUAGUCCCUAUUAGUCUAGGAAGGAUGGCAAUACCUCUUCCAAAA